Molecule: long non-coding RNA, 579 nt
Organism: Asparagus officinalis (garden asparagus)
Lineage: Eukaryota; Viridiplantae; Streptophyta; Magnoliopsida; Asparagales; Asparagaceae
Exons: 2
Source: RefSeq, a predicted model, not a curated record
UCCUUCAAUUCUUUUAUUUUUUUUCAUGAUCACUUAUCAAAAUUUCUAGCAUUUUGUCGUAGAAAAUAUUGAGGCUAGAUUUGUUUCUUUGGCUAAUGGGAGACGAAAGUUCCUAAUCUGUGAGAUUUAGUAUUCCCUUGUCUAGAUUGUUGAUGUGUUAAGAUUACUGCAACUGGCAAGUUAGCUAGUAUGGUCAUACAAAAUAUGCAAUUCCUCCAACUUUUGACUGUUUUCCUCUUAGUCUCUGUCCUUACUUUUGAGAAUUCACUUUGACUGGCCUAACAUUGCCACUAGAGAUGAAUAUGUUCAGGUUGCUUAUGUGAGUGGUACUAUUAUCUCGAGACUUGGGAAUUGUUCUUUCUUCACAGGACCAAGAGUACUUUAAGGAUUAAGACCAGCGACAGUGAUCUCUUCUCUCUCUCAGCUUCAGUUAUUGAGUCUUUCUUGUAAUCACUUGUGGUACUUCAGACUAAGAUGUAUUUUCCUCUUUCCUACUUUGAAGAGUUGUAGACAUGUAAGAGAAAUUUGUCUUUUCAGAGUUUUCUUUAUCUAUUUAGUUCCUUUGCUAUUUUAGUUACA